AUUGCAAAUAAAUAAAUAUAAUGUCUACACCGUUACUUUCCCCAAAUUCAAUCAGUACCAUUCGAUAUGAUCGCAAAAAUCAUCGCAAAAUGAUCAAACAUUCAUUACCAUCCGAAAUAAAUGCAUUACCAACGGAUUGGACCCCUAAUACAAAACCCUCGAAAAUUAUCGAGAAUUUACUCGCUGACAAACAAAAACUUCACGAUCAACGCUUAUCUGAUCUUAAAGACGUCAUGAUUAAAAUCAAAGUAGAAACGGAAAACAAGAUUCGAAACGCGUCUGAAAAUGUAAAACAAUGCAUUUUUAAUACAAAGAAAUACGUAGAGGAAGACAUGGAGAAAUAUACAUUUGAUUUUAAUAAAACCAAAGCAACUAUACGCUCGUACGAAGAAAUGUUUAAACGAUUGAAAGAAAUGAUUGCGAUUCGCUGCAAUGAGAUGAAACUAGCGAUAACUAAACACGAUUCCCAACUGAAACAGAUUGAAUUGGAACGUAUGAAUUCAUUAAAAGCAGCUUUUCGAUCUGCUUAUGAAGAUUUAACAAAGAUUUCUUAUAAAUUACCGCACGAACUUCAAUUGUACUUUGAAAAUGAAAUAAUGUUACUGAAUCAGAUGACAUUAUCGAACCACUACGCUUAUUCAGAGCUACAAAGUCAACUGAUGAAUAUUGCGUUGAGUAACGAGAAUAUUUGGUUGAAAAAAGUCGAUAAACUUAAAUUUGAUUAUCAACGUAAAUAUGAAGAACAGCAAAGGAAUAAAGACAAAUAUUCUUCGGGAGAUGACAUUGACGAUGGUGUCUUAACACUGCUAAAAGUCAAAGCGUUUACAGAAAAUUUAACAAUGGAGAUAUUCCAAUUGGAAUCAGAAGGCCAGGGUGCAACGAAUAUGAUUUACAAAGUUUUGAAGCGCAUCUACGAAGGACGUUUCGAUGAAGUGCACAUGAUUGAGACAGAUUUCGUUGGGUUACCAAAACGUGACUUUUGGGGUAUUUACGAUGAAGUCUACAGAUCGAUGUUUGAAUUUGAAAGUUAUGAAAAAGUGACUGAGUACACGGAGGUAAUGAUGGGAAGAUGGCGAGAUGUUGUCGAUAGAUUGGCGGAUGAAGUUGAAUUUUGUAAGCAAGCCGUUGUGAAAGGUCUACACAUUUGGGAUCAACAUUUUGUGCGGCAGCUUGAAGUCACUGAUAUAUUUUCUAUGGAUUUGUGGGAUUUAAUUAAUACUUCAGAUGAUGAUGAUGAUAUUACAAUGGCAGCAUUAAAUAAAACAAUAGAUACAAUGCGAAUGGGUCCAAAUGAAGAUUCUCUCAAUAAAUUAAUGGGAGAUUGUAAAAGUUACUGGAUUCCUUACAAAAAUCAUCUGAAGAAAGUUAUCAGAAACACGCACGUCAUUUCGACAGGUUUCGUGAUAUGAUUGUAGAAAGUGGUCAAAUAUUAUACCUAGAAAUAUCUUAUUUUGUUAAGUGCAUGCCAAGUGAUGAUGAUGUUAACCCUGUGAUUUUUCGCGGACGUCGGUCGAGAAUAGAAAUUGUCCCACCGGAAAACAAACCGAUAUUGAUGAAAGAAUUCGAUGCGGAUAUCAAAGCAAUGCAUAACUGGUUAUAUGGGUUAGUAAUCUUUUAAAUUUUAACAUCUAAAGUUAAAAUUUAGGGGAAGGUAGCAUAAUUUGGACCAGCGCCUAAGUUGGACCACCACGAUAUCCGCGGACUGUUGAAGUUUAUGCAAAAAUUGACUGGCCCCUUAUUUUACUCGUAUUUAUAAACAAUUAAUGCAACUAUUUGGGUUAAAACUUGCCGCGUGCUUUCGUCGUGACAACAACUUCGUGUAUCAUUGAUUAUCAAAUCUAUUAUAACGACAGUUACUCAAUAUCAUAAGAAAAAUUCGGAAUUCUGUCAUGAGAACACAUUAUUAUACGCGAAUACUUGGAUAGAAAAGAAUUACAUCAUUGUCUAUCGACAUUAUCAACUCAAAUCAGCGUUAAUUGCUAAAAUGUAUCAAGAAAUAUUUCAUUAUGUGUAUCGUGUACGUCUUGCGGAAAUAAUUCAACAUAAGAAAAGAUUAGAUGAGCAUAUUUUGGGUAUUAAUACAGAAUUAAUAAAAUUCACACCGAAAGAAAAUAUUUACGCCGGAAUAACAUUCCAAAUGAAUAUGGAGUUGAAAAAAUUAAAUAAAUCAUUAGCAAAUAUGAAUACAACCACCGGAAUAACCAAACAACUUCAACACUUCAAAAACACAGCAAUUGAUGAUCUGAACCAAAUAAAAACACAACUGGACGAUAAAAUUUCAUCACGUUUUACUGAAUUACAAAGCCUCAAUCUGGAAUUCAUCAAACACAUUAAACUAUUCAGCGAAGACGGUGAUUAUCACAUCGAUGAAAUUGCAAACAUAAAGAAAAAAUUCACAGAAUUAAAUAAAAACAUGACUAAACAAAAAUCAGAGAUUGAUAAAGAAAACGAAGCAAAAUAUCAAGCUCAUUUAGAAGAAAUAAACACAAUCGAAGAACAAUUCAAUGAAGAAUCAAGCGAAAUAAUUUCAAGCAUAGAAUUUAAAGAAUUCACCGAUAAAUUCACUAGGAAAAUGCGUACAUCGCUAAAACAAGAAACACAGGCAUUAGUUCAGAAUUACAAUCACUUAUCAGCGCAUGUUGAACGUCUUGAGAGUUUAGCAGAGAAUAAUAUCGGACAAAUCGAAUAUUUGGAUGAUUUUACGUCAAAUUGCGAAUAUAUACAAGGUAUUUUUAAAGAAUUAUACGAAAAAAUCUUGCAGAAAGAAGUUUUUAACUUGAGUGUCAGUUUGUUUAAACUACCAGAAACAAACAAUGAAGACAAACAACAAGAAAAUGCAGAAAAUCAUUCAGAAACUAAUGUAAUCCUUGAAAAUCUACAAGAAAAACUAGAAGAAACUAAUUUAACUGCAACAGUAAAAGUAAUGUUUCCGACUUUUCCAUUUGGAAAUGAUUACAUGUCGAGAAUCGUAAACAUUUUGUUCGGAGAGCCUUUGGAAGAUCUACAAACUCAUG
Molecule: RNA transcript, 3014 nt
Organism: Dalotia coriaria
Lineage: Eukaryota; Metazoa; Arthropoda; Insecta; Coleoptera; Staphylinidae
Exons: 6
Source: RefSeq, a predicted model, not a curated record